RNAcentral lists this small RNA (1152 nucleotides) under Arabidopsis thaliana (thale cress). RNAcentral's name for it is "ATSL155440". Lineage: Eukaryota; Viridiplantae; Streptophyta; Magnoliopsida; Brassicales; Brassicaceae. The record is from RNAcentral.
UGAGCUAAUUUCAUUGUCAACAAGUCGCUUGACAUACAUGUUGAGUGAAGCAGAAGAUGUCUCAGAAGCAUCCUUAGGAAGAGUAUGGAGGAUCUUCUCCAUUAUGGAUGUGCACUUAGCAGCAUGAAUCUCUUGCUUAGAAAGACGCCUCCUCGGAUACGGGACAUGAGGAGUGUAGACAGACUCGGGCAGCAUAGGUAUUUGCACCUCAUAAGGUGUUGUCCGGAUCCAGUGUCGAUCGACACUAGAGGGGUAUCGAUCGACACCGUCGUAUUGAGUCGUCUCUGAGAAUAGCGUCCCAUAUGGUGCCGAUCAACACAGGAGGGUGUCGGUCGACACCAUCUCUGCAACUGCGAGCUCCAACUCGUCUUCAGUGUCCAAUUCCUCCCACACAUCAUCUCCUUCUCUGAUCAAGAUGGCAUUGCGGCUCUUCCUUGGGUUAGCAUCAGGAUUACCAGGAAGAAAACCCUCUUGUCUCUUGAUAGAUUGUGCAGUUUGAGCUUCUUGUACAUCUAGCUUCUUCAAGUGAGAGCUCUGAUUAUCGAUCUUCCCAUUAAGAUCUGUGUAGACAGCAUCAAACUUGCCAUUAAACUCCACAACAAGCUUAGUCUGGCUCUCUAGAAUCUGCUCAAGCAUCGAUUCCAUUCUUGUCUCUACUAAGGGUGGAGGGGGGGCUUGGUAAGUUGAAUUACCAUAGUUCCUUUGAAAGAUGCUUUGAGGAAAGGUCUUUUGGAAAGCAGGCUUUGGAGUGUAGUUGAAGGAACCCUAGUUCCCUGUAAACCUGUUGCCACUGAAGUUGCCCUGUGGCUGCCCAAACUUCCUGUAUCCCUGACCAUCUAUGUAGAAGACUCCUUCUUCUGACUCAGGCUCAGGCUCAAUAGUUUCUUCUUUAGCUGCAAAGUGGACAUGCUUCUUCCCUGUGAGCAAGUUAUGAACUGAAUCUAGCUUAGCAUUCACCUCUGCCAUCUGAUUUCCUGAAAUAGCUCCAGCAAUCUUCUUCCUCUCAAAAUCAGCAUUCUUGGUACUGUUGCUGCAAGCGAGGUUCUAUAUAAGGGUUGUAGCAUCAGCUGGGUAACGUGUAUUGAAGUUACCAUUGCUCGCUGCAUCUAGAGCCAUCUGGUAUCUCCAAUUAACUCCUCUAAAGAAGGUACC